GAAUUCGCCCUUAGAGUUUGAUCCUGGCUCAGGACGAACGCUGGCGGCGCGCCUAACACAUGCAAGUCGAACGAGCGAGAGAGAGCUUGCUUUCUCGAGCGAGUGGCGAACGGGUGAGUAACGCGUGAGGAACCUGCCUCAAAGAGGGGGACAACAGUUGGAAACGACUGCUAAUACCGCAUAAGCCCACGGCUCGGCAUCGAGCAGAGGGAAAAGGAGCAAUCCGCUUUGAGAUGGCCUCGCGUCCGAUUAGCUAGUUGGUGAGGUAACGGCCCACCAAGGCAACGAUCGGUAGCCGGACUGAGAGGUUGAACGGCCACAUUGGGACUGAGACACGGCCCAGACUCCUACGGGAGGCAGCAGUGGGGAAUAUUGCACAAUGGGGGAAACCCUGAUGCAGCGACGCCGCGUGGAGGAAGAAGGUCUUCGGAUUGUAAACUCCUGUUGUUGAGGAAGAUAAUGACGGUACUCAACAAGGAAGUGACGGCUAACUACGUGCCAGCAGCCGCGGUAAAACGUAGGUCACAAGCGUUGUCCGGAAUUACUGGGUGUAAAGGGAGCGCAGGCGGGAAGACAAGUUGGAAGUGAAAUCCAUGGGCUCAACCCAUGAACUGCUUUCAAAACUGUUUUUCUUGAGUAGUGCAGAGGUAGGCGGAAUUCCCGGUGUAGCGGUGGAAUGCGUAGUUAUCGGGAGGAACACCAGUGGCGAAGGCGGCCUACUGGGCACCAACUGACGCUGAGGCUCGAAAGUGUGGGUAGCAAACAGGAUUAGAUACCCUGGUAGUCCACACUGUAAACGAUGAUUACUAGGUGUUGGAGGAUUGACCCCUUCAGUGCCGCAGUUAACACAAUAAGUAAUCCACCUGGGGAGUACGACCGCAAGGUUGAAACUCAAAGGAAUUGACGGGGGCCCGCACAAGCAGUGGAGUAUGUGGUUUAAUUCGACGCAACGCGAAGAACCUUACCAAGUCUGGACAUCCUGCGACGGUGCUGGAAACAGUACUUUCCUUCGGGACGCAGAGACAGGUGGUGCAUGGUUGUCGUCAGCUCGUGUCGUGAGAUGUUGGGUUAAGUCCCGCAACGAGCGCAACCCUUAUGGUCAGUUACUACGCAAGAGGACUCUGGCCAGACUGCCGUUGACAAAACGGAGGAAGGUGGGGAUGACGUCAAAUCAUCAUGCCCUUUAUGACUUGGGCUACACACGUACUACAAUGGCGUUAAACAAAGAGAAGCAAGACCGCGAGGUGGAGCAAAACUCAGAAACAACGUCCCAGUUCGGACUGCAGGCUGCAACUCGCCUGCACGAAGUCGGAAUUGCUAGUAAUCGCAGAUCAGCAUGCUGCGGUGAAUACGUUCCCGGGCCUUGCACACACCGCCCGUCA
This 1382-nucleotide ribosomal RNA is filed under the name uncultured bacterium. RNAcentral's name for it is "bacterial SSU rRNA". It matches the Rfam family "Bacterial small subunit ribosomal RNA". The record is from RNAcentral.